Molecule: ribosomal RNA, 919 nt
Filed under: Candidatus Roizmanbacteria bacterium CG06_land_8_20_14_3_00_34_14
Lineage: Bacteria; Candidatus Roizmaniibacteriota
Description: bacterial LSU rRNA
Rfam family: Bacterial large subunit ribosomal RNA
Source: RNAcentral
UUUAACUGGGGCGGUUCCCUCCUAAAGAGUAACGGAGGGGCGCAAAGGUCAGCUUAGUCCGGAUGGAAAUCGGACUAUAAGUGCAUACGCAUAAGCUGGCUUAACUGUGAGAAUGACUAUUCAAACAGAUGCGAAAGCAGGUGUUAGUGAUCCCCUGACUCGCUGUGAUUGCGGUCAGGGCUUAACGGAUAAAAGCUACCUCGGGGAUAACAGGCUAGUCGCGUCCGAGAGUUCAUAUCGACGACGCGGUUCGGCACCUUAAUACAUUGGGGCGCCAUGAGAGUAAUCUCACGCUUGUAAUCCAUUUUUUUAAUUUGGGUCUUUUUGAAAUUUUUUUCCUAGCUCAUAACGGUGGACUCCUUUUAGCAAUAAAAGGACAAUACCGUGGGAAUCCCGCUCCGCGGGACCCGUAACGACUUUUUAACACUACACGUAGUGUUAAAAGACUUGAUAAUUUAUUAUCAGGUAAUAAGGCUAGCUCCCACUACUUAAAGUGGGGUGAAGGUAUAGUCUAAACUUUCAAGUAAUUGAAAGAAUUUUUUGCGAUGUCGGCUCACCGUAUCCUGGGACUGAAGUAGGCCCCAAGGGUUGGACUGUUCGUCCAUUAAAACGGUACGCGAGCUGGGUUCAGAACGUCGUGAGACAGUUCGGACUCUAUCCUGUGCAAGCGAUUGAACUUUUGAGGAGACUCUUCCACAGUACGAGAGGACCUGGAAGAGGAAAUCACUGGUCUACCGGUUGGCCCACAAGGUCAUCGCCGGGUAGCUACAUUUCCAAACGAUAAACACUGAAUGCAUCUCAAGUGUUAAGCGAACUCCAAGAUUAGAAGUUCCCAUUAGCUUCCCCGCAGAAUACGGGGUUGAUAGGACUUAGAUGUAAGGCCCGCAAGGGUUUUAGUCGAGAGUUACUAAGUAGCGAC